Molecule: long non-coding RNA, 585 nt
Filed under: Olea europaea (common olive)
Lineage: Eukaryota; Viridiplantae; Streptophyta; Magnoliopsida; Lamiales; Oleaceae
Description: long non-coding RNA (OEUR_LNC006935)
Source: RNAcentral
GACCCAGCACCCGUCUUCUCUUUUUCCUAACCUCUCUUCUCUCUCAACAAUAGCGGUGCUGAUCCUGGAAGAGAAUCUCCGGUGCAACGAUGUUACCAUCGGAAGAGAACCGUCCGGAGUAGCGACAUCCAGUGCUGCGCUCAAUGGUGAUAACGAUGUCGCAAGCAAGCUAUGCCCUGCCGUUUGUCUUACACACCAAUAAUCGUUAGUGGUUGUGGUAGUGUGGUGUGGUGAGUUCAGAUUUGGUUGGUGGUGGUGAGUGUGUGGAGACGGUGGUGUGGUGGUGGCACUAUCGUUGUGCAGUGGUGUUUGACUUGUUUGUGGAGGUGCAAAUGUGGUGUGCGGUGGGUUGGUGAGUUCAGAUCUGGUUGGUGGUGGUAAUGUUGGUGGGCGUUGUGUUGUGUUGUUAUUGUUGGUGGUGGCGGUGGCAGUGGUGGUAACGACGGAGGAUGGGAUGAGUAUUUUGUGACCAACUUUUGGUCGAUUUGUGGCAAGUAUUUGUGAUGGAUUGGAGUCGAUUGUUUGGGUAUGUGUGACCAAUUAUUCGAUUCUUUGUGACUAACUAUUAAAAUAUGACCUUAAAAC